Camellia sinensis is the source of this 336-nucleotide long non-coding RNA. RefSeq lists it as uncharacterized. The record is from RefSeq and is a predicted model, not a curated record. Lineage: Eukaryota; Viridiplantae; Streptophyta; Magnoliopsida; Ericales; Theaceae.
AGGUUUUGUUACACAGUUCCGUUGGAAUUUUAUGCACCCUGGUGUGGUCACUGCAAAAACUUGGCUCCAAUCUUGCAUGAAGUUGCUGUUUCAUUUGAAAGUGAUGCUGAUGUUGUCAUUGCAAAGAUUGUUGCAGGUUCAUGUACUGUUCAUCUAUGGCUUCCAAAACUGAAGAGAUGCCACUGCAAUUGAUGUACCAAUUGAUAUUUUCGACGUGAAAGGUUAUCCAACAUUGUACUUCAGAUCAGCAGGUGGAAAUCUGUUGCAGUACAAUGGGAAACGUACCAAAGAGGAUACAAUUGACUUUAUUCAGAAGAAUCGGGAUAAACUUGCCCA